Molecule: ribosomal RNA, 1403 nt
Filed under: Eriauchenus sp. 4 HMW-2014
Lineage: Eukaryota; Metazoa; Arthropoda; Arachnida; Araneae; Archaeidae
Description: eukaryotic LSU rRNA
Rfam family: Eukaryotic large subunit ribosomal RNA
Source: RNAcentral
UCCCUCAGUAGCGGCGAGCGAACCGGGAAGAGUCCAGCGCCGAAUCCGAGCGUAGGGCAAGACGCUCGGAAAUGUGGCGUACGAGAGGCCGCGUGCCGUCGACACUGUGUUCCCCGGAGCAAGUCCCCUUGAUCGGGGCAAGCUCUACGGAGCGGACCAGAGCGGGUGCAAGUCCCGUGGCCCGGGGAAACGUCGACGGAUAGCGGAAAGCAGAACCCUCUCGCGAGUCGGGUUGCUUGAGAGUGCAGCCCUAAGACAGGUGGUAAACUCCAUCUAAGACUAAACACGACCUCGAAACCGAUAGCGAACAAGUACCGUGAGGGAAAGUUGCAAAGAACUUUGAAGAGAGAGUUCAAGAGUACGUGAAACUGCUCAGAGGAAAACGGGUGGGCGUUCGAAGCCCCCGUCGGCAGUCAAUAACUGUCGGAUUCAGUAUCUCCCUUGCUCGCUGUCUUCCACGGUGAUUCUCGUGCGACGCUAUCCGAGUGCGCGGAUCAAUUCCGCGUUGCGAAGUGUGCGGGCGUGCGGGGAAACAGACGUGGACGCACGAGCGAGUCUGCGGAGUACGCAUUUCCGAACUUUGUCGGCUGCCGAUAAGAAGGGCGCCGCGAUCGAUCGGACACCAAAAGAGUGCCGUCCGUUGGUCGGGUAAGUGCGGUUUUGGGAUUCCUGCUCUCCUCCUUCGCGGGAGGGGUCAGUCGUUUCCCCCGACUACCUCGGCACACCAAACAACGGUUCGGUCGUCCGAUCGGUAGUGACACUGCGGCAGAGGUGCUGCCCUCUCAUCCUUUAUACGUGGUGGAGGGCAGAGUUGCUGCCGUCGCGGCGAGAGUGUCGGUGUCCCACCCNNNNNNNNNNNNNNNNNNGACCAAGGAGUCUUACUCGUGCGCGAGUCGCAGGGUCUUGCACAGGCCCCGUGGCGGAGCGAAAGCGAAUUUUUGAAAAGCCGAGAUUUCCGAGCAUUUGAAAAAGUCGAAGGAAAGCAUCGGCGGCCCGGCGGUGAAAAUCGUAACGCUUCGGCGUUUCGAUUUCGUCGGAGUUUGAGCGCACGAGUAGGUACCCGAAAGAUGGUGAACUAUGCCCGGCCAGGGCGAAGCCGGAGGAAACUCCGGUGGAGGCUCGAAGCGGUUCUGACGUGCAAAUCGAUCGUCGGAGCGAGGUAUAGGGGCGGAAGACCAAUCGAACCAUCUAGUAGCUGGUUCCCUCCGAAGUUUCCCUCAGGAUAGCUGGCAUUCUUGAAAACUCAGUCUCUCCCCGUAGAGAGAAUGAAUAGAGGCCCUGGGGCCCUAGACGACCUCAACCUAUUAUCAAACUACUACGAGGUGCGUCGGUCGUUCCUGCCGAUUUCUAUCGAGCAGAGGAACGGCGAAGGAGAUGAAGGAGUGCCGUGUGGGCCAUUUUUG